AUUGAACGCUGGCGGCAGGCCUAACACAUGCAAGUCGAACGAGUGGCGGACGGGUGAGUAAUGUCUGGGAAACUGCCCGAUGGAGGGGGAUAACUACUGGAAACGGUAGCUAAUACCGCAUACAAUCGGAUGUGCCCAGAUGGGAUUAGCUUGUAGGUGAGGUAACUGCUCACCUAGGCGACGCUCCCUAGCUGUUCUGAGAGGAGGACCAGGCACACGGGAACUGAGACACGGUCCAGACUGCUACGGGAGGCAGCAGUGGGGAAUAUUGCACAAUGGGCGCAAGCCUGAUAGAGCCAUGCGGCGUGUAUGAAGAAGGCCUUCGGUUUGUAAAGUACUUUCAGCGGGGAGGCGUUACCCACAGAAGAAGCACCGGCUAACUCCGGGCCAGCAGCCGCGGUAAUUC
RNAcentral lists this ribosomal RNA (406 nucleotides) under uncultured bacterium. RNAcentral's name for it is "partial 16S ribosomal RNA". It matches the Rfam family "Bacterial small subunit ribosomal RNA", at positions 30 to 526 of the family's 1533-position model. The record is from RNAcentral.